ACCAUCUACGUAUAUAAUUGUUUGCUUCGUUUGUUUCUCUCGUCUAUAGAGUCAUUCACGGGUAUAUUCAUUCAUAGAAUUAUACAGUUUCGCCAUGAAGAUAUUUCUGGCCGGCUGCUUAUUGGUUGCGGUUAUAGCGGGUGCCCCGCCGAGUCAUCGUGAUGACGUCAUAAUGUAUUCCAGCUCCAACGGCCAGGUGAAAUAUUGGCUCAACUGCGAGUUCCACGGCAAUGACGUCGAGGAGAAACCCAGCACCUUGGGGCAAUGCGGAAGCGUCUGCCUGGCCAACGCGGACUGCAUCCAUUUCACAUGGACCGACGGCGUUUGUUACAUGAAGAACACCAAAGACAUUGACUUCCGCACUCGACUCGACGGCGCCGUUUUCGGAUUCGUCAAGUGCCGAAUUUUCGACUGUUAAUUCUAAUUCUAAUUCACAAUAAUGUAUUGGAUUCUCUUGCUAAAAUAAAUGGUAAUUUAUGCCAAUAACCA
RNAcentral lists this long non-coding RNA (489 nucleotides) under Daphnia pulicaria. RNAcentral describes it as "uncharacterized LOC124329843". The record is from RNAcentral. Lineage: Eukaryota; Metazoa; Arthropoda; Branchiopoda; Diplostraca; Daphniidae.